RNAcentral lists this ribosomal RNA (497 nucleotides) under uncultured bacterium. RNAcentral's name for it is "partial 16S ribosomal RNA". It matches the Rfam family "Bacterial small subunit ribosomal RNA", at positions 28 to 507 of the family's 1533-position model. The record is from RNAcentral.
GACGAACGCUGGCGGCGUGCCUAAUACAUGCAAGUUGAGCGCUGAAGGUUGGUACUUGUACCAACUGGAUGAGCAGCGAACGGGUGAGUAACGCGUGGGGAAUCUGCCUUUGAGCGGGGGACAACAUUUGGAAACGAAUGCUAAUACCGCAUAAAAACUUUAAACACAAGUUUUAAGUUUGAAAGAUGCAAUUGCAUCACUCAAAGAUGAUCCCGCGUUGUAUUAGCUAGUUGGUGAGGUAAAGGCGCACCAAGGCGAUGAUACAUAGCCGACCUGAGAGGGGGAUCGGCCACAUUGGGACUGAGACACGGCCCAAACUCCUACGGGAGGCAGCAGUAGGGAAUCUUCGGCAAUGGACGAAAGUCUGACCGAGCAACGCCGCGUGAGUGAAGAAGGUUUUCGGAUCGUAAAACUCUGUUGGUAGAGAAGAACGUUGGUGAGAGUGGAAAGCUCAUCAAGUGACGGUAACUACCCAGAAAGGGACGGCUAACUACGUG